Molecule: ribosomal RNA, 1368 nt
Filed under: human gut metagenome
Description: bacterial LSU rRNA
Rfam family: Bacterial large subunit ribosomal RNA
Source: RNAcentral
CCCGGGUCCGCCCGGGGGGAAGGGGCCCGCACCAUGCCGCCGAGAAAAGCGCCUAAGCGUUGGAUUCCGUCCGGGUCCGUACCGCAAACCGACACAGGUGGACAGGUCGAACAGACCGAGGUGCUCGGGAGAAACCACGUUAAGGAACUCGGCAAACCAGCCCCGUAACUUCGGAAGAAGGGGCGCUCCCCCCGGUGCGGAGGACUUGCUUCUCCGCGCCCCGGGGAGCCGCAGUGAAGAGGCCCAGGCGACUGUUUAGCAAAAACACAGCACUCUGCCAAGCCGCAAGGCGACGUAUAGGGUGUGACACGUGACCAAUGCCGCAAGGUCAAUCGGAGGGGUCAGCCUUCAUGGCGAAGCCCGGAUGUGAAGCCCCGGUGAAUGUCGGCCGUAACUAUAACGGUCCUAAGGUAGCGAAAUUCCUUGUCGGGCAAGUUCCGACCUGCACGAAUCGUGUAACGAUCUGGGCGCUGUCUCAACGUGGAUCCCGGUGAAGUUGUAGCUCCGGUGAAAAUGCCGGAUGCCUGCGGAAGGACGGAAAGACCCCAUGAACCUUUACUGUUGCCUGGCAUUGGCGGCUGGGCGGCCAUGUGUAGCAUAGGUGGGAGGCAUCGAUGCCCCGGCGCCAGCCGGGGCGGAGCCUUCAGUGAAAUACCACCCUUGGCCGUCCGGUCUCCUAACCGCGCGCCGUGGAUCCGGCGCCGGGACCGCGCCAGGCGGUCAGUUUGACUGGGGCGGUUUCCUCCAAAAAGGUAACGGAGGAGUUCGAAGGUCGGCUCACCGCGUUUGGCAAGCGCGGGCGCGAGCGCAAGGGCACAAGCCGGCCUCACUGCAAGACCGACGGGUCGAGCAGCCGCGAAAGCGGGACCUAGUGAUCCAGCGGUGGAACGUGGCAUCGCCGUUGCUCAUCGGACAAAAGGUACUCUGGGGAUAACAGGCUGAUCGCGCCCAAGCGUCCACAGCGACGGCGCGGUUUGGCACCUCGAUGUCGGCUCAUCACAUCCUGGGGCUGAAGCAGGUCCCAAGGGUUCGGCUGUUCGCCGAUUAAAGUGUUACGCGAGCUGGGUUCAAAACGUCGUGAGACAGUUUGGUCCUUAUCCUCCGCAGGCGCAGGACGGUUGGCGGGAGCGCCCCCUAGUACGAGAGGACCGGGGGCGGGCGACCUCUGGUGUUCCGGUUGUCGAGCCAUCGGCACCGCCGGGUAGCCACGUCGCGAAGGGAUAAGCGCUGAAGGCAUCUAAGCGCCAAGCCCCCCCGGAGAUUAGCCGUCCCUGACGCAAGUCCUGAAGGGCCGCGGGAAGAACACCCGCUUGACAGGGCGGAUGCGCAAGCGCCGCGAGGCGUUCACCAUACCGCUUCUGAUAGGCC